This 207-nucleotide ribosomal RNA is filed under the name uncultured bacterium. RNAcentral describes it as "partial 16S ribosomal RNA". It matches the Rfam family "Bacterial small subunit ribosomal RNA", at positions 568 to 774 of the family's 1533-position model. The record is from RNAcentral.
CAUCUAGGCGGCCUAUUAAGUCAGAAGUGAAAUACCGGGGCUCAACCCCGGGACUGCUUUUGAAACUGAUUCGCUAGAAUACGGGAUAGGAGGGCGGAACUACAAGUGUAGAGGUGAAAUUCGUAGAUAUUUGUAGGAAUGCCGAUGACGAAGGUAGCUCUCUGGACCGACAUUGACGCUGAAGUGCGAAAGCUAGGGUAGCAAACA